This 263-nucleotide ribosomal RNA is filed under the name uncultured bacterium. RNAcentral's name for it is "partial 16S ribosomal RNA". It matches the Rfam family "Bacterial small subunit ribosomal RNA", at positions 334 to 589 of the family's 1533-position model. The record is from RNAcentral.
UUUACCUACGGGAGGCAGCAGUAGGGAAUCUUCCACAAUGGGCGAAAGCCUGAUGGAGCAACGCCGCGUGGGUGAAGAAGGUCUUCGGAUCGUAAAACCCUGUUGUUAGAGAAGAAAGUGCGUGAGAGUAACUGUUCACGUUUCGACGGUAUCUAACCAGAAAGCCACGGCUAACUAAGUGCGAGCAGCCGCGGUAAUACGUAGGUGGCACGCGUUAUCCGGAUUUAUUGGGCGUAAACGGAACGCAGGCGGUCUUUUUAGUA